This 285-nucleotide unclassified non-coding RNA is filed under the name Hevea brasiliensis (rubber tree). Lineage: Eukaryota; Viridiplantae; Streptophyta; Magnoliopsida; Malpighiales; Euphorbiaceae. The record is from RNAcentral.
GUGAAGAGAACCAAUGCGUGGCCUGCCCGACAGAGAACGGGCUGUUGGGAUGGAGCAAGACGUGUAUGGCAAAGAAGGUAAGUUCCUGUGAUCCUAAAAGCUUCCAUUACUAUAAACUUGAAGGUGUGGAUCACUUUUUGACUAAGUACAACAAAGGAGAAGGGCCUAUGGGGCAGAAGGAGUGUGAGAAAAAGUGCAAUUUGGAUUGUAAAUGUUUGGGUUAUUUUUACCAAACCAAAGGCUCUCUUUGUUGGGUUGCAAAUGAAUUGAAGACUUUGAUAAAAG